AGCAUUUUUCCCCCAGGUAAAGGGGCCAUGUUCUUUGACUAAUACUGCUGGAAUAUGCAAGGGUUCAAUUCCCUUAAAGGUUUCCA
RNAcentral lists this transfer RNA (86 nucleotides) under Cellulosilyticum sp. WCF-2. Its description in RNAcentral is "tRNA-OTHER". Lineage: Bacteria; Bacillati; Bacillota; Clostridia; Lachnospirales; Cellulosilyticaceae. RNAcentral also lists the same sequence under 1 other name. The record is from RNAcentral.